UACAGAGGUGGCGAGCGUUGUUCGGAUUUACUGGGCGUAAAGGGUGCGUAGGUGGUUUUGUGUGUCGGAUGUGAAAUCUCACUGCUCAACGGUGAAAUGGCAUUCGAAACUGCAGAACUUGAGUGCAGGAGAGGAGAGCGGAAUUCUUGGUGUAGCGGUGGAAUGCGUUGAGAUCAAGAAGAACACCGGUGGCGUAGGCGGCUCUCUGGUAUGCAACUGACACUGAGGCACGAAAGUUGGGGGAGCAAACAGGAUUAGAUACCCUGGUAGUCCCAACCUUAAACGGUGUACAUUUGGUGUGGGGAGAUUGACCCUCUCCGUGCCGGAGCUAACGCGUUAAAUGUACCGCCUGGGGAGUACGGUCGCAAGAUUA
This 373-nucleotide ribosomal RNA is filed under the name uncultured prokaryote. RNAcentral describes it as "bacterial SSU rRNA". It matches the Rfam family "Bacterial small subunit ribosomal RNA", at positions 524 to 896 of the family's 1533-position model. The record is from RNAcentral.